This 336-nucleotide ribosomal RNA is filed under the name uncultured Acholeplasma sp. Its description in RNAcentral is "bacterial SSU rRNA". It matches the Rfam family "Bacterial small subunit ribosomal RNA", at positions 1044 to 1382 of the family's 1533-position model. Lineage: Bacteria; Bacillati; Mycoplasmatota; Mollicutes; Acholeplasmatales; Acholeplasmataceae. The record is from RNAcentral.
CAUGGUUGUCGUCAGCUCGUGUCGUGAGAUGUGGGUUAAGUCCCGCAACGAGCGCAACCCUAUUGCUAGUUACCAUCAUUAAGUUGGGGACGUCUAGCGAGACUGCCAGUGAUAAACUGGAGGAAGGUGGGGAUGACGUCAAAUCAUCAUGCCCCUUAUGACCUGGGCUACAAACGUGAUACAAUGGCUGGAACAAAGGGAUGCGAAGCAGUGAUGUGGAGCGAAACCCAUAAAAACAGUCUCAGUUCGGAUUGAAGUCUGCAACUCGACUUCAUGAAGUCGGAAUCGCUAGUAAUCGCGGAUCAGAACGCCGCGGUGAAUACGUUCUCGGGGUUU